This 468-nucleotide ribosomal RNA is filed under the name uncultured bacterium. RNAcentral's name for it is "bacterial SSU rRNA". It matches the Rfam family "Bacterial small subunit ribosomal RNA", at positions 28 to 507 of the family's 1533-position model. The record is from RNAcentral.
GAUGAACGCUGGCGGCGUGCUUAACACAUGCAAGUCGAACGGAGUUAUUUAGAAGCUUGCUUUUGAAUAACUUAGUGGCGGACGGGUGAGUAACGCGUGGGUGACCUGCCUUAUACUGGGGGAUAACACUUAGAAAUAGGUGCUAAUACCGCAUAAGCGCACAGUUCUGCAUGGGACAGUGUGAAAAACUGAGGUGGUAUAAGAUGGACCCGCGUCUGAUUAGCUAGUUGGUGAGGUAACGGCCCACCAAGGCGACGAUCAGUAGCCGGCCUGAGAGGGUGAACGGCCACAUUGGGACUGAGACACGGCCCAAACUCCUACGGGAGGCAGCAGUGGGGAAUAUUGCACAAUGGGGGAAACCCUGAUGCAGCGACGCCGCGUGAGUGAAGAAGUUAUUCGUAACGUAAAGCUCUAUCAGCAGGGAAGAAAAUGACGGUACCUGACUAAGAAGCCCCGGCUAACUACGUG